GGUUGAUCCUGCCAGUAGUUAUAUGCUUGUCUCAAAGAUUAAGCCAUGCAUGUCUAAGUACAAACUAUAUCAUAUAGUGAAACCGCAAAAGGCUCAGUACAACAGCUAUUAUUUAUUUGAUUAUAAAAACAGUUACUUGGAUAACUGUGGUAAUUCCAGAGCUAAUACAUGCAAACAACAUGACACCGCCGGCUCGCCGGAGGCACAUGUGCUUUUAUUAGAUUAAAACCAUACCGCUCUCGGGCGGUUCACUUUAGACGAAUCUGGAUAAUUUUGGCUGAUCGUAUGGUCU
RNAcentral lists this ribosomal RNA (292 nucleotides) under uncultured eukaryote. Its description in RNAcentral is "partial 18S ribosomal RNA". It matches the Rfam family "Eukaryotic small subunit ribosomal RNA", at positions 6 to 279 of the family's 1831-position model. The record is from RNAcentral.